This 464-nucleotide ribosomal RNA is filed under the name uncultured bacterium. RNAcentral describes it as "partial 16S ribosomal RNA". It matches the Rfam family "Bacterial small subunit ribosomal RNA", at positions 338 to 795 of the family's 1533-position model. The record is from RNAcentral.
CCUACGGGAGGCAGCAGUAGGGAAUCUUCGUCAAUGGGCGCAAGCCUGAACGAGCAAUGCCGCGUGAAUGAGGAAGGUUUUCGGAUCGUAAAGCUCUGUUGAAGGGGAAGAAGAGCGGAGAGAGUAAAUGAACUCCCAUUGAUAUUACCUUUCCAGGAAGCCACGCCUAACUACGUGCCAGCAGCCGCGGUAAUACGUGGGUGGAGAGCGUUAUCCGAGAUGAUGGGGCUAAAGGGAGGCGAAGGCGUACUGCUAAGUCUGGGGUGAAAUGUACCGGCUAAACCGGUACAGGCUCUGGAAACUGGGGAGCUAGAGAGCAGAAGAGGGGAGUGGAACUCCAAGUGUAGCGGUGAAAUGCGUAGAUAUAUGGAGGAACACCAGUGGCGAAGGCGGCCGCCUGGCCUGUAACUGACGCUGAGGCACGAAAGCGUGGGGAGCAAAUAGGAUUAGAUACCCCGGUAGUC